RNAcentral lists this microRNA precursor (78 nucleotides) under Xenopus tropicalis (tropical clawed frog). Its description in RNAcentral is "Xenopus (Silurana) tropicalis (western clawed frog) mir-103/107 microRNA precursor family". It matches the Rfam family "mir-103/107 microRNA precursor family". From Rfam's summary of the family: This family consists of the mammalian microRNA (miRNA) precursors mir-103 and mir107. Animal miRNAs are transcribed as ~70nt precursors and subsequently processed by the Dicer enzyme to give a ~22nt product. RNAcentral also lists the same sequence under 2 other names. The record is from Rfam by way of RNAcentral. Lineage: Eukaryota; Metazoa; Chordata; Amphibia; Anura; Pipidae.
UACUGCUUUCAGCUUCUUUACAGUGUUGCCUUGUGGCAUGGAGUUCAAGCAGCAUUGUACAGGGCUAUCAAAGCAUUA